This 253-nucleotide ribosomal RNA is filed under the name uncultured bacterium. RNAcentral's name for it is "partial 16S ribosomal RNA". It matches the Rfam family "Bacterial small subunit ribosomal RNA", at positions 524 to 776 of the family's 1533-position model. The record is from RNAcentral.
CACGUAGGGGGCAAGCGUUGUCCGGAUUCAUUGGGCGUAAAGAGCGUGUAGGCGGCCAGGUAGGUCGGUUGUGAAAACUGGAGGCUCAACCUUCAGAGGUCGACCGAAACCAUCUGGCUAGAGUCCGGGAGAGGAGAGUGGAAUUCCUGGUGUAGCGGUGAAAUGCGCAGAUAUCAGGAAGAACACCCGUGGCGAAAGCGGCGCUCUGGAACGGGACUGACGCUGAGACGCGAAAGCGUGGGGAGCGAACAGG